CCUACGGGAGGCAGCAGUGGGGAAUAUUGGGCAAUGGGCGCAAGCCUGACCCAGCAACGCCGCGUGAAGGAAGAAGGCUUUCGGGUUGUAAACUUCUUUUAUCAGGGACGAAGCAAGUGACGGUACCUGCUUAAUAAGCCACGGCUAACUACGUGCCAGCAGCCGCGGUAAUACGUAGGUGGCAAGCGUUAUCCGGAUUUACUGGGUGUAAAGGGCGUGUAGGCGGGAGUGCAAGUCAGAUGUGAAAACUAUGGGCUCAACCCAUAGCCUGCAUUUGAUACUGUAAUUCUUGAGUGCUGGAGAGGCAAUCGGAAUUCCGGGUGUAGCGGUGAAAUGCGUAGAUAUACGGAGGAACACCGGUGGCGAAGGCAGAUUGCUAGACAGUAACUGACGCUGAGGCGCGAAAGCGUGGGGAGCAAACAGGAUUAGAUACCCGUGUAGUC
This 443-nucleotide ribosomal RNA is filed under the name uncultured bacterium. Its description in RNAcentral is "partial 16S ribosomal RNA". It matches the Rfam family "Bacterial small subunit ribosomal RNA", at positions 338 to 795 of the family's 1533-position model. The record is from RNAcentral.